GCCAACCAGGAGGGGAACGACUGGAAACGGUCGCUAAUACCCAAUGUGCCGGGAGGUAAAAACUUUAGUGCCUGAGGAGAACUCGCGUCUGAUUAGCUAGUUGGUAGUGUAAUGGACUACCAAGGCGACGAUCAGUAGCUGGUCUGAGAGGAUGAUCAGCCACACUGGGACUGAGACACGGCCCAGACUCCUACGGGAGGCAGCAGUGGGGAAUUUUCCGCAAUGGGCGAAAGCCUGACGGAGCAACGCCGCGUGAGGGAAGAAUGUCUGUGGAUUGUAAACCUCUUUUCUCAGGGAAGAAGGAAUGACGGUACCUGAGGAAUAAGCAUCGGCUAACUCCGUGCCAGCAGCCGCGGUAAUACGGAGGAUGCAAGCGUUAUCCGGAAUCAUUGGGCGUAAAGCGUCCGUAGGCGGCUUAUCAAGUCUGCUGUUAAAGCGUGCAGCUUAACUGCAUAAGGGCAGUGGAAACUGAAAGGCUAGAGUGUAGUAGGGGUAGAGGGAAUUCCCAGUGUAGCGGUGAAAUGCGUAGAUAUUGGGAAGAACACCGGUGGCGAAGGCGCUCUACUGGGCUACAACUGACGCUGAUGGACGAAAGCUAGGGGAGCGAAUGGGAUUAGAUAGCCCCUGUAGUCACGCGUUACUCACCCGUCCGCGG
RNAcentral lists this ribosomal RNA (655 nucleotides) under Lyngbya confervoides MHM-655. Its description in RNAcentral is "bacterial SSU rRNA". It matches the Rfam family "Bacterial small subunit ribosomal RNA", at positions 128 to 820 of the family's 1533-position model. Lineage: Bacteria; Bacillati; Cyanobacteriota; Cyanophyceae; Oscillatoriales; Microcoleaceae. The record is from RNAcentral.